RNAcentral lists this ribosomal RNA (371 nucleotides) under uncultured organism. RNAcentral's name for it is "bacterial SSU rRNA". It matches the Rfam family "Bacterial small subunit ribosomal RNA", at positions 526 to 896 of the family's 1533-position model. The record is from RNAcentral.
CAGAGGGUGCGAGCGUUAAUCGGAAUUACUGGGCGUAAAGCGCGCGUAGGCGGCUUUUCAAGUCGGAUGUGAAAUCCCCGGGCUUAACCUGGGAACUGCAUUCGAGACUGUCUAGCUAGAGUAUGGGAGAGGGAAGUGGAAUUUCAGGUGUAGCGGUGAAAUGCGUAGAUAUCUGAAGGAACAUCAGUGGCGAAAGCGACUUCCUGGACCAAUACUGACGCUCAUGUGCGAAAGCGUGGGGAGCAAACAGGAUUAGAUACCCUGGUAGUCCACGCCAUAAGCGAUGAGAACUGGAUGUCGGGAGGGUCUGCCUCUCGGUGUCGUAGCUAACGCGUUAAGUUCUCCGCCUGGGGAGUACGGCCGCAAGGUUG